Molecule: long non-coding RNA, 11661 nt
Filed under: Homo sapiens (human)
Lineage: Eukaryota; Metazoa; Chordata; Mammalia; Primates; Hominidae
Description: non-protein coding lnc-TRABD2A-5:8
Source: RNAcentral
GCGGGAGGUGGGUGCUUCUCGGCGGCGAGCUGCGACUCGGAGAGACUCCUGUCCGCAGGUGCAUGGCUUCCGGGCGGGCCUCGGGCAGCGAGCUCCAGCCCCACUGAGAGGCCGCGGACCGCCUGGGGACUUGUGUUUGUGUGUAUUUUAAGCCAACAGCCCAGAAAGGGAAGGCGACUGGCCCCCGGUCUUCGCCAGUGUUUCCCGGCCGGGUUACUGGUGGUCAGGAGGGAAGCCAGGAGGCUGCCGGGCUCCGAGGCCGAUUCCUUGCGAACCAUCUCCGUUAAAGACUCCGCGCCGGGCAGCCCGGGAGUCCGGCGGUACCCGCGCAAACUUUGUCCCAGCGCCUUGGCUCACCGUGAAUGCCCUGCCUUGAAAAUUUGGAGUUUUUUGUUUCCUGAAAGUGGUCUGCUUUUCCGAUUUUAUCUGUGUUUUCCAUUUUUACCUUCUUAUUGUCAAUUUGUUUUCAGGCAUUAUUAAUUCAACAAAUCUUUGUACUGCCCCUUACCACGUGUCGAUGGUUCCGUGGUUUGGUGGAAAUAGAUCGCGCUUUGAAGUCAAGACGGAUCGGCCAUGGAAUUUUGGCUCUGAGAUCCUCUGUGUAACCGUGGAUGAGCUACAAGGCCUGCUGAGCCUCCAUUUGUCUGGUUUUUGUGGUUGUUUUAAUUUAUCUUUUUCCAUUUGAAGUUGUGGGUUUUGCAUAAAAUUGAACUGUUACCAGGCUAAGUCAACUGAAAUUGGAAUCUGGGGUACUGCUUGCUUUGAGGUUACUCUUAUACUGUCCACCAUUUGCUGGCUGUGUGAUCUCUAAACCUCUCUGUGCCCUGACUUUUCUAUCUUUAAAAUGGACGUAACAACAGAGGUUUAAUAAUAAGAGGUUUGGAGGUUAAGUGCUAAAAUGCAUAUAAAAUACCUAGCACAGGACACAGUAAAAAGAUUGUUACCGUAUUUCAUUGAAUCUGGUUUUAAGACACUUCCUGAUUUCAAAGAAACUAAAAGCUCAUCUUGAAGUCCAGGAAGUAGGUUUUGGGUCACUCAGAACUCCCAAGGGACUGUAUUUGGUAGUAACUAGUGAUAAACAAACUGGAGUUUAAAUGAGGACUUUGUCACCAGAGAUAUUUUUAUUGCCUGUAUGGAGCUCCUGCACAAAUUUAUUCCAUUUCUCUUGUAGAAAGAGAUCCAACCUGGCCGUAAAUGGGGUGUGGUGGAGUAGAAAGAAGGGUAUUAAGUAAAGCUCUGUGUCGAUGCCUUUCUGAGCAUUUUACGGUGUUGGCAUAUGUGAUCCUGGGUAUCAGGAGCCUCAAUUUCUUGGGCUGUAAAAAUGGGGAGAACAACGCUGAUCCCAUUGUCUCCUGAUGGGUAAGUGAUGUCUAUAAAUAAAUUGUAUAGAGAUUAAGGCAUUAUCAGUGCUGUAGUCUGAUAAAAUGGUGGAGCAGAUAGGAAAGCCUACAACAGUACUGAACUGCAGGAGGGACUAAGAGUAAAUAUAGAGAUUUCAUUUGCUUGGUUUUGCAGAGGGUUAGCUAACUAAACAGAUAACUUUGUUUUCGACAGUUACUUCAUUUUUUUCAGUCAGGCAAGAGUAAGGAGAGAGUAACUAAACCAUUUUUUUUCCUCUUUAAAUAAGAGUAAGCAGAAAUAUUAUGGUUAUUUGGGGUUUUCAUGACCUUCAUUCACUUAGCGGUCAGGCUGUUCAAUUUAAAACAACCUUUUGCUUGCUGCCCUGCCAUAUGGGAAAUUUCAUUUCCAAAAAAAGGAUUAAUUUCCAGCCUGGGCGAAACCCUAUCUCUACGGAAAAUAUAAAAAUUAGCGGCCAGGAGCAGUGGCUCAUACCUGUAAUCCCAGCACUUUGGGAGGCCGAGGCAGGUGGAUCACGAGGUCAGGAGUUCAAGAUCAGCCUGGCCAAGAUGGUGAAACCCCAUCUCUACUAAAAAUACAAAAAUUAGCCUGAUGUGGUGGCACGCGCCUGUAAUCCCAGCUACUUGGGAGGCUGAGGCAGAGAACUGCUUGAACCUGGGAGCAUUCCAGCCUGGAUGACAGAGUGAGACUCCGUCUCAAAAAAAAAAAAAAAAUUAGCUGGGCGUGGUGGCAUCCGCCUUUGGUCCCAAAUACUCAGGAGGCUGAGGUGGGAGGAUUGCUUGAGCCCAGGAGGUCGAGUCUGCAGUGAGCCGUGAUUGUACCACCACAUCCUAGUCUGAGUGACAGUGUGACACUCUGUCUCAAAAAAGAAAAGAAGAUCAAGAAGGAUUAAUUUAAAUCCUUAUACCAAAUUGUCUACCAAAUGAUUUUUGUUCCACUCCAGAAAUGUUUUCCUCCAGUCCCUUCCUCUCUCUGCACCCUCCUGAGUUCUCCUUUCUUCUGUGGACAACUGUAACUAAUGCGUGUUUUUGCUAGGCUGACCCUUCUUUCAUACUAUGGCCCAAUUAUGUUUUUUCAAAUAAGCUAAUGGAUGUAAGCACUGGUGAAAUCUGAAUAAGGUCUGUAGUCUACUUGAUAGUAUUGUACCAAUGUCAGUUUCCUGGCUUUUGAUAUUUUUCCAUAGCUUUGUAAGAUGUUCCCAUUUGAGAAAGUGUACCUGGGCCCUCUUUGCAACUACCUAUGGGUAAAUGAUUAUUUCAAAGUAAAAAAUUAAAGUAUAGGGACAGAAAUUAGAUCAAUGGUUACUGGCAACUGGAGCUGGGGAAGGGUGGACUGAUCACACUUUUUGAGAUGAUGAGAAUAUUCUCUAACUUGAUUGUGGUAUUUACAUUACUGGAUGACUCUGACUCCUCAAAGGCAGCGACCACAUUGUUCUUUGUCUCUGGGAUCCAGUAGUGUUGAAUGAGUGAGUGAAUGAACAAAUUAUUUAUUUAUUUAUUUAUUUAUUUAUUUUUUGAGACAGAGCCUCUCUCUGUCGCACAGGCAGGAGUGCAGUGGUGCGAUCUCGGCUCACUGCAACCUCUGCCUCCCGGGUUCAAGUGAUUCUCCUGCCUCAGCCUCCUGAGUAGCUGGGACUACAGGAGGGUGCCAUGACGCCUGGCUAAUUUUUGUAUAUUUAGUAGAGACGGGGUUUCACCAUGUUGCCCAGGCUGGUCUCAAACUGCUGGCCUCAGGUGAUCCACCCACCUCAGCCUCCCAAAGUCCUGGGAUUACAGCCAUGAGCCACCAGGCCCGGCUGUGAAUGAUGUAGAGCUGAAAGAAAAACUAAUGGUUCUCAAAGUGCGGUCCAAGGUCCCCAAGAGGUGAGGUGAGGUGCUAGGAUUUUCAUGCUUUCAGCAAACAGCACAUCCUAACAGAUUGAAUGCAGAAGAAGAGAAUCCAGCUGUCUUCAUUUAAGCCAAACAUUAAAGAGAUCUGAAAAACAAUAUCGUACUUCCACAUUUUUUGGGAAAAAAUAAGUUAUUUUUCUUUAAAAUGUGUUCUGUUACUAGAUAGUGGGUUUAUUACUGUUUUUAAGUGACUACGUUUUUGUUUGUUUGUUUGUUUGUUUGAGACAGUCUCAUUCUGCCACCCAGGCUGGAGUACAAUGGCGCCAUCUCGGCUCACUGUAACCUCUGCCUCCUGGUUUCAAGCAAUUCUGCCUCAGCCUCCCAAGUAGCUGAGAUUACAGGCCCCCGCCACCACGCCUGGCUAAGUUUUUUGCAUUUUUAGGAGAGAUGGGGUUUUGCUGUGUUAGCCAGGCUGAUCUCAAACUCCUGACCCGCCUUUGCUUCCCAGAGUGCCAGGAUUACAGGCGUGAGCCACCACGCCCAGCCGACUAUGUAUUUUAAAAAUAUUUUCUCAGUUUUCUAAUAUGAAAAAUAUUGACAGAUAUAAUACUUUUUUUUAAAGUUCUUAGGGCUGGGCACAGUAGCUCAUGCCUGUAAUCCCAGCACUUUGGGAGGCCAAGGCGGGCAGAUCACGUGCAGGAGUUCAAGACCAGCCUGAUCAACAUGGUGUAUCCCCAUCUCUACAAAAUAUGCAAAAAAUAAUUAGCCGGGUGUGGUGGCACACACCUGUAAUCCCCGCUACUCAGGAGACAGGAGAAUUGCUUGAACCUGGAAGGCGGUUCGCUGGAAGGCAGUGAGCCGAGGUCGCACCACUGCACUCCAGUCUGGGCAACAGAGCGAGACUCUGUCUCAAAGAAAAAAAAAGGUUCUUUGGCGUCUUCGACAAUUUUUAAGAAUGUAAAAAGAUUCUGAGACCAAAAUAUUUAAGAAUCUGUGCCUUAGAGACUGUUAACAAAGCCCUCAUUGUUCAAAUGAGAAAUGGUCAUGAUGCUGACAUUUAGUGCUCUGGUACAUGUGGCUGGCCUUAUUGUAAGCACUUUACUUGAGGAUACUAUUAUGUCUUCAUGUUACUGAUAAGGCAAGUGAGGCACAGAGAGGUUAAAUUGACUUGCCCAAGGCCAUGUAGCUAGUCACUGGUGGAACCACAAUUUGAGGCCCUGAUGUUGGCUACAGUUUUCUGCCACUUCCAUGAAGUCUGGAAAGGGUCAGAAGGCCCAAAUGCCAUCUGGUUACUUCACCAGUUCUCUGUUAUCUAUCAAUCUCACAGUCACUAUGCAGGAGUCACUGAGGCCUCAAUUCUGCUUUGCAGUCUUCAUCCCAAAUUCUGCCACCCUGAAUGUUUUCAAGUAUGGCCUUACAAUUGGCCUUACAAGGCCUUGAUUUUUUUCAAAUCUGUGUGCACUUCCACUUCAACCACCCAUUCCUCUCUUGUGACCAUGCUCGAAACUCUAAUAAUCUGUCUUAUUGUAACUUCCUAUUUUUCAGUUUUCUUACUCUCUACCACUAAACCUUUUUUUUUUUUCUUUUAAUGUCCAGCGUCUUGCUGUGUCACCCAGGCUGGAGUGCAGUGGUGCGAUCAUGGUUCACUGCAACCUUGAACUCCUGGGCUCGAGCAAUCAUCUUUAUUUAUCAGUGGACACUGAGUAGCUGGGACUACAGGCGUGCACCACUGCACCCAGCUAAUUUUCUUAUUUUUUGUAGAGACAAGGGUCUCGCUUUGUUACCUAGGCCAGUCUUGAACUCCUGGCUUUAAGUGAUUCUUCCACCUCAGCCUCCCAAAGUGCUGGAAUUAAUAGGUAUGAGCCACCACGCCUGGCCUAAUCCUUGAUGUUUGCACUUGCUGUUAUGGUUUUUGUUUGUUUUUCUGAGACAGAGUCUUACUCUGUUGCCCAGGCUGGAGUGCAGUGGCCUGAUCUCAGCUCACUGCAACCUCCGCCUCCUGGGUUCAAGUGAUUCUCCUGCUUCAGCCUCCCGAGUAGCUGGGAAUACAGGCGCCUGCCACCACGCCCGGCUAAUUUUUAUGUUUUUAGUAGAGGCAGGGUUUCACCAUGUUGGCCAGGCUGGUCUUGAACUCCCCACCUCAAGUGAUCCAUCCGCCUCGGCCUCUCAAAAUGCUGGGAUUACAGGUGUAAGCCACCACGCCCAGCCGGUUUUUUCUUUUGUUUUUCCCUUUUUAACCCCAUUCUCUACCUUAUGCAACUGGUGCCCUGUGGUCAACUCAGACUUCUCAUUCAUGCCCUCAGCUCCUUAAACCCCUCAUCCUCAAACUCUACCAGCUUUGCAAGCUUCCAAGCCUGAAUUGCCUGACUCAGUUUAUCCCUGUGUGUAUCUGCUUGGGGUGUAGAAUAUAACAACUAAAAAUGAUAGAAGUGUACAGAUUGUGGCUGUUAUGAAUCUAGGGCAUUCAACUGCGGUUGGACCUCAGUGCCAUUGAGCAAUCUUUGUCUUUGGUCAGAACCCUCUUCUAUAAACAUUCACCACUUGGUUCCAACUGCUUACUCACCCACGUGCCUAAUAGAUAACCUCACCUCCUAAUUCACAGAGGGAGGAAAGUUCAAAAUGCAGGAACUUUCACUUCCCACUGUGAGCCUCCAAGGGAGUGUGUACAUCUGCAUCCUGCUGCCUCAUGCAUGGAGAUAGCCUUUCUGUUCAACCUGUCAUCUGUUAUGAUCCCACUUCAUCCCAUCAAUGGGAUCUUACUCCUUCAGCCACCCCCUUGGCACCUGUACUUUCAGCUGCUCAGCCUCUACUGGUCCGUUGCCCUCAGCCAAAAAACGCCCCUUCAACCCUGCACUCCUGGUUAUUACCCUAUUGUUUCUCUCUGUGGACAAUCUUCUUGAAAGAAUUGUCACUCCCCUUCCUCAGCUUAGAAACUGGUUUAUCUGAUUGCCUGACUUUUGGUGCUGUUGGUUACCCUCUCAUUUUCUGGGAUACCACUAUCAUCAUCUUCUCUUUCAUGUCUUUGCUGUUUUUGUAUCCCCUAUUGGAUUGAGCAAAGUCAUCAGCCUAGUCAAGUCACCCCCCAACAAGAUGAAACACAACAGUCAUCCUAGACUCCUUCCUCCCAUUUAUCUUCCAUAGCCAAUUGCCAAAUCCUGUGAUGUUUACCCAUUAAACAUCUGUCAAAUCAGUCCCUUUCUCUUUAUUCCCAUGGCCACCAAACCAUUCCAGGCUGCUAUCAUCUCUUCUCGAGAUGUGGAGUGAUCUUGGCUCCUCACUAUCAUACUCCCUUAUGUGGUCCUUUGUACUGACCUGAGCAAUAAUGAUGCUGAAGGCCCCACUGUUCGCUGCCAGCCCACAGAGAAGAAGUCUAUGCCAGAGAACGAGUGACCAGAAGAGGCUAUGCUCACAGAAGUCAGAGAAGCAGAGUCUUCAGGAAGGGAGAACAUCGGUGUCCACCAAGCAGAGAUACCUCAUGAGAUAGAUUGAAGUGUGGCCCCUGGAUUUCAGAAAUGGAUGUCAUCUGUCCAUGGAGGAGUAGGGUAAGAAGCUGCAUUGCAGUAGGCUGAAGGGUGUCCUUGGAAGCCUAGAAACUGACAGUAGCUAUAGAUGACUUCUAGAAGAUGAGCUGAAAUAAGAAUGUGAAACAAACUCAACCACUAGGAAUCAAAUCCAAAUUAAAAGGAGACACCAUUUCACCUCUUAAAUUGGCAGAAAAAUACUUUUAAUAAUACUUGAUAAUGAGGAUGUCAAGAAAGGAAUAUGACUUGUUACAAGCAUUCCAAAUGGGAUUUUAUGGUAGGUUUCAAGAGCAAUAGAUUUUUGCCCAUUCUUUGCCAUAGUAAUCCCAGCUCAACUCAGUCUAUUUAAGUAAUUACUGAUAGAUGCAAAGAUUUUAGACACAAGAAUGUUUAUCACAGUGUUCUUUUUAAUAUUUAAAAUUGAAAACCUAUAAAUUAUUGUCUAUCCAAACCAAAAGCAGCAACUAAAAAUGGGUAAUGAACUAGAAAUAUGAUGUGUUUUUAGUGAAAAAAGCAGGUUACAAAACAUUCUUUUCUAAAUUAUGUAUGUACAGCCUGAUGUCAUUAUUGUUUUUGUUUUUUUGAGACUGGGUCUUGCUCUGUCAUCCAGGCUGGAGUACAGUGGCAUGAUCAUGGCUCACUGCAGCCUCGACCUCCCAGGUUCAAGCGAUCCUCCCACCCUCACUCUCCUGAGUAGCUGAGCCUACAGGCAUGUACCACCAGGCCCAGCUAAUUUUAAGUUUUUUUUUUUUUUUUAGAGUUGAGGUCUUGCUAUGUUGCUCAUGCUGGUCUCAAAUUCCUGGCAUCAAAUGAUCCUCCCACCUCAGCCUCCCGAAGUGCUGGGAUUACAGGCGUGAGCCAUGGCACCUGUCCUCAUUUUUUAUUUUUAAUAAAACAUGUAAAGAUUGGAUGGCUAUCAGAGUCAAUAUGGUUAUGGGGGUAUAAUAUGGAUGAUGUAUUUUUUUUUAUGUUACCCAGGUUUGUUAUAUGGUAUAUAGCAUGAUGCUGAGGUUUGGGGUGUGAAUGAUUAUAUCACUCAGGCACUAAGCAUUGUACCCAGAAGGUAGGUUUUCAGCCCUUGACUCACUCCCUCUCUCUUCCAUCUAGUAGUCCCCAAUAAAUACAUAUUUAUUGAGUCUUCUGGGUCCACUGAGGACACAAUCAUGAAAAAGAAAACUAUGUCCCCAUCCUGGAGGUGUUUACAUUCUGGUGACAAAACUAAUUGAAGCAGUUCUGAUUGAUGUUUUGAGAGCUUAUGAUAAGGUAUGAAGGACUUUUUUUCCUUUUAGUUUUGAAAUUUUCUGUAAUGAACAUAUACACUGGUUUCAUAGCCCUUUUGUUUCUUUUUUCUUUCUUUUGUAUUUAAAGAAGCUUGGCAGAGGCCGGGCAUGGUGGCUCACACCUGUAAUCCCAGCACUUUGGGAGGCUGAGGCAGGUGGAUCACUUGAGGUCAGGAGUUGAAGACCAGCCUGGCCAACAUGUGAAACCCUGUCUCUACUAAAAAUAACAAAAAUUAGCUGGGCGUCAUGGCACACUCCUGUAAUCCCAGCUACUUGGGAGGCUGAGGCAGGAGGGUCACUUGAGCCCAGGAGCUGGAGGUUGCAGUGAGCCAAGACUGUGCCACCACUCAACAGAGUGAGACUCCGUCUCAAAAAAAAAAAAAAAAAAAAAAAAAAAAAAAGCUUGUCAGAGAAAUAAAUGAGAAAUUAAAAGAUGGUAAGUGGAGGCCCCAGAGUGAAGGGAAGUGUUUUUGGUUUUAGGAAUAGGAGAGUCUAGUGUGUUUAGAGGUUUAGGGGAAGGAUCCAGGAGAGGCAGCAGAGAACUGAAGGGUGUAUGUGUGUGUGGAGCAGGGAGGUGGGGGUGGUGAGGGUGGGAGAUGGAGGGGAGAAGGAGCCCAGAUAAAUUUAGCUUCCACCAGGAGCAGGAUGCCUCUUCCUCUGCUGGUGCUAUAGGAAGGUUGCCAAUGGGCCGGGUGCGGUGGCUCAUGCCUGUAAUCCUAGCACUUUGAGAGCCCAAGGUAGGUGUAUCACGAGGUCAGGAGUUCAAGACCAGCCUGGCCAGUAUGGUGAAACCCUGUCUCUACUAAGAAAAUACAAAAAUUGGCCAGUGACGGUGGCUCGCACCUGUAAUCCCAGCACUUUGGGAGGCCGAGGCGCGUAGAUCAGGAGGUCAGGAGGUCAGGAUUUCAAGACCAGCCUGGCCAAGAUGGUGAAACCCCAUCUCUACUAAAAAUACAAAAAUUAGCUGGGCAUGGUGGCUCGCGCCUGUAGUCCCAUCUACUCAGGAGGCUGAGGCAGGAGAAUCGCUUGAACCCGGGAGGUGGAGGUUGCAGUGAGCCGAGAUCGUGCCACUGCACUCCAGCCUGAGAGACAGAGUGAGACUCUGUCAAAAAAGAAAAAUUGCCAGUGGAGAUAAAGGUGUCCAUUUGGGUAGGUCAGGAAGCUGUGGUAUUCAUGCCUCAUGGCCUUCAUUUUCUUAGAGCGUAGGGUAAAAUCAUGCCAUUUUUUGCCUCUGUGCCUCAUAAGUUUGUACUCCUUCCUCCUUUAAAAAUCAGCUGUAAGAGCUGGAUGUGCUGUAAGGGCUGGACGUGGUGGCACAUGCCUGUAGUUCCUACUUGGGAAGCUGAGAUGGGAGGACCACUUGAGUCCGGGAGGUUGAGGCUGCAGUGAGCUAUGAUUGCACCACUGCUCUCCAGCCUGGGUGACAGAGCAACACCUUGUCUCUUGGGAAAAAAAAAAAAAAAAAAAAUCAGCUCCAGACCCCUGCCUUUGUGAACCUUUUCUUGAAGGAAAGAGUGUGGGUUGGGGCCACUUCCAGUGGAAUCACCAGGAGGGGAGUGGAGGGAGGAGGGAAGGUGCUCAGAAUAAACAUUCAAUGUCCCUGAGCAUUCCUAGAUCAACCGGAUCAGGAUCUCUGAAGGAUGGGGCUCAAAGAUUGGCAUUUGAAAGAACACCCGUGGGGAUCCUGAUGGUGCAAUAAAGUUGUAGAACCACCUCACUAAGUGCUCCCAAUUCCUUUUACAAUUCUCUAUUAUUGCAAUUUAAUCCUUUCACUUCCCCCACUGGGCUGCCCUUGGGCAGGAGUAGGUGUCUUUGUUUACAUACUUGUAGCACAGCCCUGCAGUUGGCUAUCAUAGUGGGCUUUGGGUGCUUAUUUGUGAAAUGAAUGAUGUGUACAAAACUGGAACCCAGAUGUCCUGAUUCCCAGACUCAUAAUUUGCUCUAUCACAUUUUAUCUCUAGAAGCUGCUGAAUUCCUCAGGAAGGCAUUUCCUGGUCCAACUGUGCCUAAAACUCAUAUGCCAAUUUAAAAAGCACAAAUCCACAUAGAAAGAUUCUCUGAAGAAGGAGACAGUGUAUGGGGGAUUGGUUGCUCUAAGGAAGAUUAGAAAAUGAGGUCACCUGAAAGUGAAGGGAGCGGGAUGCACACAAAGUAACAAGCCCCUGGAGCAGGUCUGUUCCAAGUGUGUCACCCAGGUCUCCCCCAAAAACCAUCAAGGAGUUAGAAACAUACUGUGGAAAAGAUCCCUAGAAUGUAACAGUUAAGAAGCUGGAUGCUCAGGAGGUAAUGAGUCAUAGAAUGCUUGUGUGUGGACUGCAUGGAAUCCAGAAAAGGGGAAGCCAUAGGUUAGAAAUUAUAGCGUCUCAGCUGGGCACGGUGGCUCACGCCUGUAAUCCUAGCUCUUUGGGAGGCUGAGGUGGGUGGAUCACCUGAGGUCAGGAGUUCGAGACCAGCCUAGCCAACAUGGCUUCACCGUCUCUACUGAAAAUACAAAAAUUAGCCAGCGUGGUGGCGGACGCCUAUAAUCCCAGCUAUUCAGGAGACUGAGGCAGGAGAAUCGCCUGAACCCGGUGGGGUGGAGGUUGCAGUGAGCCAAGAUCGCGCCACUUCAUUCCAGCCUGGGUGAAAAAGCAAAACUCUUGUCUCAAAAAAAAAAAAAAAAAAGAAGAAGCAAUUAGAAUUUAUAGAGUUGUUGUAAUAUCCAAAGGUAUAGAUGCUCUGAUACCACUGGGUAGUGCUGUUAAUUUAGAAAGAACUGGUCCAAAAGAAUGCGAAUUCAUCUUAGGAGAAAUGGGUGUUUCCACUAAGAACAGCUCAUCCCUUUUCUUUAAUCAUUUAGUAACUCUUUAUAGAUUACCUCCAAUGUGUCAGGGGCUGUAUUCACUGUGUCUUGCCGGAGAUAUGACAGUGGGCAAAACAGGUACAGGACGUACCCUUGAGAACUCACAGUAUUAUUCUUGUUUAUUCAUCAGGUUUCUAACCUGUAAUUUGAUAUGCUUUGUGGAUUUGCCUGGCACUCUGAGCAAAUGACCAAAACCAAUUAUUCUGCCAGGUAGGCCUCUGUUCUCACGUUAAUAACAUUCUAGUUGUGAGUCAUUUAUGACUUCGAUGAGAGAGUAUAAAACAAACAGUUCCAUUAGGGGUUGGUUUUUCCCUGGACAAAUGGGUACAGAGCUGGGCCUGCUGAUGAGCUCAGCAAGAAGUCCCCACCCUGGGAAGCCCUGCCAACUGCCAGCACCUUGUAUUCAGCAGGCUCUCAGCCACACACAGGCUAAGUCACAGCCCCUGGCCCCAUUAGGAAUGUGUGUAUCCUUUCCUGCCUGAAUGGCCCACUGAGAGGUCGUUGGGAAAAUUCUUGGAGCGUCGGAUUCCUGGAUGUCUUGAAUUCCAAAGAGCUUGAAUCAGCACAAAGCUUAGGGCCCAGGGCUGUAUUUUAAAGGAAGACGCAGCAGGGGCAGGUGAUGGUAAAUAGAGGAGAGUGAACAUGGCGGGAACAGACUUCAGGCUGCACCUGUGACUGAGGACAGCCCCCAAAUUCUUAGUUCUGAGAGAAACCCCUGAGGGCCAAAAACAGCAUGCUCAGUUCCUGGUAAUUCCUUAAAAACAGGCUUCUAUCAGACCUGGCUCUAAAAAAACAUUCACUCAGGCUGGAUCCAGGUUUGGGGCCCUGAG